Molecule: ribosomal RNA, 186 nt
Filed under: uncultured Bifidobacterium sp.
Lineage: Bacteria; Bacillati; Actinomycetota; Actinomycetes; Bifidobacteriales; Bifidobacteriaceae
Description: partial 16S ribosomal RNA
Rfam family: Bacterial small subunit ribosomal RNA
Source: RNAcentral
CCUACGGGAGGCAGCAGUGGGGAAUAUUGCACAAUGGGCGCAAGCCUGAUGCAGCGACGCCGCGUGCGGGAUGGAGGCCUUCGGGUUGUAAACCGCUUUUGUUCAAGGGCAAGGCACGGUUUCGGCCGUGUUGAGUGGAUUGUUCGAAUAAGCACCGGCUAACUACGUGCCAGCAGCCGCGGUAAU